This 485-nucleotide ribosomal RNA is filed under the name uncultured bacterium. RNAcentral describes it as "bacterial SSU rRNA". It matches the Rfam family "Bacterial small subunit ribosomal RNA", at positions 30 to 509 of the family's 1533-position model. The record is from RNAcentral.
AUUGAACGCUGGCGGCAGGCCUAACACAUGCAAGUCGAGCGGAUGAGUGGAGCUUGCUCCAUGAUUCAGCGGCGGACGGGUGAGUAAUGCCUAGGAAUCUGCCUGGUAGUGGGGGACAACGUUUCGAAAGGAACGCUAAUACCGCAUACGUCCUACGGGAGAAAGUGGGGGAUCUUCGGACCUCACGCUAUCAGAUGAGCCUAGGUCGGAUUAGCUAGUUGGUGAGGUAAAGGCUCACCAAGGCGACGAUCCGUAACUGGUCUGAGAGGAUGAUCAGUCACACUGGAACUGAGACACGGUCCAGACUCCUACGGGAGGCAGCAGUGGGGAAUAUUGGACAAUGGGCGAAAGCCUGAUCCAGCCAUGCCGCGUGUGUGAAGAAGGUCUUCGGAUUGUAAAGCACUUUAAGUUGGGAGGAAGGGCAGUAAGUUAAUACCUUGCUGUUUUGACGUUACCAACAGAAUAAGCCCGGCUAACUACGUGCC